AAUAAUUUUGCAUGGAACAUUAUUUCAUCAGAAUGAGGCGGGACUGUUAGGGUUAGUUGCUUCAAAGAAGUUUUUUCAAAAAGAUGACUAAUUCCAUUUGUCUGUUUUACAGGUGAAGAAAUGGAUACUUGCGAAGGGCAGGAACCUGCCCAAAAUCACAUGGAGUCUAGGAUGAGAAUGAUACAAGGAAUGCACAGCUUGCUGUCUGCCUGACAUAGAGCAUCUGGCAUGUUUGAGAGAAACAGACAACCUGGUGGGAAAACAGCAUCACUGCAGCUUAGGACAGCUGGGAGGGACCUGAAGCUCCACACCACCUCAGCCCCCUGCCCCAUUUUGCAGGUAAGAAAACAGAGGCCGCACAGAUCA
RNAcentral lists this long non-coding RNA (366 nucleotides) under Chinchilla lanigera (long-tailed chinchilla). RNAcentral's name for it is "lncRNA (ENSCLAG00000028438.1)". Lineage: Eukaryota; Metazoa; Chordata; Mammalia; Rodentia; Chinchillidae. The record is from RNAcentral.